GUGUUAUGUAUACUCCAGGCUCAUCUUGCUCAACCCAUUCAGCUUCAUGAUGUGAUUCACCAUCUUUCGUUCUGCUUCCAUUUCUAGCUGUUGCUUCCAAAUGGUCUUGUUUGUUGUAACCUGAAUUACGGAUGCUGGUGGCACUAGAGCCAUUAGACAGCACCUGGCUAUAUAAUCCAUUUGUGUCUGGUCCUUCAGAUGCCAUUUGACCAUUCAGACGAUCAAGAGAAACAUUAGGAACAUCAUUGGAAGGAGUCGAGGCAAGUGAAGUAAAGGAGGGUGAUUUCACGUUUCG
Molecule: unclassified non-coding RNA, 295 nt
Filed under: Hevea brasiliensis (rubber tree)
Lineage: Eukaryota; Viridiplantae; Streptophyta; Magnoliopsida; Malpighiales; Euphorbiaceae
Source: RNAcentral